Molecule: ribosomal RNA, 465 nt
Filed under: Vreelandella stevensii
Lineage: Bacteria; Pseudomonadati; Pseudomonadota; Gammaproteobacteria; Oceanospirillales; Halomonadaceae
Description: partial 16S ribosomal RNA
Rfam family: Bacterial small subunit ribosomal RNA
Source: RNAcentral
CCUACGGGUGGCAGCAGUGGGGAAUAUUGGACAAUGGGGGCAACCCUGAUCCAGCCAUGCCGCGUGUGUGAAGAAGGCCCUCGGGUUGUAAAGCACUUUCAGUGAGGAAGAACGCCUGGUGGUUAAUACCCAUCAGGAAAGACAUCACUCACAGAAGAAGCACCGGCUAACUCCGUGCCAGCAGCCGCGGUAAUACGGAGGGUGCGAGCGUUAAUCGGAAUUACUGGGCGUAAAGCGCGCGUAGGUGGCUUGAUAAGCCGGUUGUGAAAGCCCCGGGCUCAACCUGGGAACGGCAUCCGGAACUGUCAAGCUAGAGUGCAGGAGAGGAAGGUAGAAUUCCCGGUGUAGCGGUGAAAUGCGUAGAGAUCGGGAGGAAUACCAGUGGCGAAGGCGGCCUUCUGGACUGACGCUGACACUGAGGUGCGAAAGCGUGGGUAGCAAACAGGAUUAGAUACCCGUGUAGUC